ACCACAUAUCCCAGAAAAAUAACAAGCAGAAAUCAAAAUACUGACCGAUUGUCAGACAGUUUACCAUCAUGUUCAAUGCUGGAGGGGAAUUCGGUAGAUCAACUGAUGAAAAAUAUUGACAGCGUGAAGUCUGUUGAAAGCUCUUUAGGUAGGUCUUGCAUUGGUGUGAAAAACAAAAUAGUCAGAUUUGUACAACCAAGCAGAGUGUUUGUACCUUUAUCAAAUAAAGAAAAGUCUGUACCUACUUCACCCAAGAAAUCAGAGUUCGCGUAAACGAAUCCAUUGAUUAUGAAGCAACGCCUAUAAUUAUAGGUUUAAGGCCGAGAGUCGGAAAAGAAGUCUAAAGGGUAAUAAUCGCAAAGUUAAGAAACACUGUAAUGAUAUUUCUAUUACCAAUUUAUUUGGGGAUAAAAGGUAAGAGAGACAGAACAAAAUUUUUAAAAAGAAGUAAUGAAUCUUUUUUCAAUGUACUUUUGUAGAAAGGAAUUUGAACCAGAAGAAACUUGUCUGGAUUUACCGAACUUACCAAUGCAACAGAAUAUUCAGAAUC
Molecule: long non-coding RNA, 550 nt
Organism: Daphnia magna
Lineage: Eukaryota; Metazoa; Arthropoda; Branchiopoda; Diplostraca; Daphniidae
Exons: 3
Source: RefSeq, a predicted model, not a curated record